UGUUUGGGAAUGCAGCUCUAAAUGGGUGGUAAGUUUCAUCUAAAGCUAAAUAUUGACGAGAGACCGAUAGCGAACAAGUACCGUGAGGGAAAGAUGAAAAGAACUUUGAAAAGAGAGUUAAAAAGUACUUGAAAUUGCUAAGAGGGAAGCGCUGAAAACCAGUGUCAUUGUUAUCAUUUUGCCUAUAUAUGUUUGAUUACAUAUACUGUAUGUUGGUAACUCAUAUAGUGUAUGACGAUUGGCUCAUAUAUGGGUCCUGUGAUAAUAAUAUGUCAGAAUCAGUUUGUAUUCGUAGGAGAAGGAUAAGAGAAAGGUAGGUUUCUAGUAAUAGCAAACUGUUAUAGUCUUUUAUCUCUACUAUGUUAUAGACUGAGGAUGUAAUGAUGCGCCUUUUAUUAGGCUUUUAUCUCUGUUUCUAUUAUAUGAGUCGGCUUGGAUGUCAAUGACAUGCUGUUGAUAGAGUGUAAUACUAAGUAGAAGUGAUAAAUAUGCAUGAUCACGAUUCUGACUAAAUGGUUUUCAUCGACCCGUCUUGAAACACGGACC
Molecule: ribosomal RNA, 546 nt
Filed under: uncultured soil eukaryote
Lineage: Eukaryota
Description: eukaryotic LSU rRNA
Rfam family: Eukaryotic large subunit ribosomal RNA
Source: RNAcentral